GGCCCCUUAGCUCAGUGGUUAGAGCAGGUGACUCAUAAUCGCUUGGUCGCUGGUUCAAGUCCAGCAGGGGCCACCA
This 76-nucleotide transfer RNA is filed under the name Escherichia coli. RNAcentral describes it as "tRNA-Ile". It matches the Rfam family "tRNA". Rfam says of the family: Transfer RNA (tRNA) molecules are approximately 80 nucleotides in length. Their secondary structure includes four short double-helical elements and three loops (D, anti-codon, and T loops). Further hydrogen bonds mediate the characteristic L-shaped molecular structure. tRNAs have two regions of fundamental functional importance: the anti-codon, which is responsible for specific mRNA codon recognition, and the 3' end, to which the tRNAs corresponding amino acid is attached (by aminoacyl-tRNA synthetases). tRNAs cope with the degeneracy of the genetic code in two manners: having more than one tRNA (with a specific anti-codon) for a particular amino acid; and 'wobble' base-pairing, i.e. permitting non-standard base-pairing at the 3rd anti-codon position. RNAcentral also lists the same sequence under 4 other names. Lineage: Bacteria; Pseudomonadati; Pseudomonadota; Gammaproteobacteria; Enterobacterales; Enterobacteriaceae. The record is from RNAcentral.